Molecule: ribosomal RNA, 468 nt
Filed under: uncultured bacterium
Lineage: Bacteria
Description: partial 16S ribosomal RNA
Rfam family: Bacterial small subunit ribosomal RNA
Source: RNAcentral
GACGAACGCUGGCGGCGUGCUUAACACAUGCAAGUCGAACGGAAAGGCCCUGCUUUUGUGGGGUGCUCGAGUGGCGAACGGGUGAGUAACACGUGAGUAACCUGCCCUUGUCUUUGGGAUAACUUCAGGAAACUGGGGCUAAUACCGGAUAGGAGCUCCUGCUGCAUGGGGGGGGUUGGAAAGUUUCGGCGGUUGGGGAUGGACUAGCGGCUUAUCAGCUUGUUGGUGGGGUAGUGGCUUACCCAGGCUUUGACGGGUAGCCGGCCUGAGAGGGUGACCGGCCACAAUAGUACUGAGAGACGGACCAGACGCCUACGGGAGGCAGAAGGGGGGAGUAUUGCACAGUGGGCGGAAGUGUGAGGCGGCAGCGCCGCGUGCGUGAUGACGGCCUUCUGGUUAAGAACCGCUUUCGCCUGUGACGAAGCGUGAGUGACGGUAAUGAGUAAAGAAGCACCGGCUAACUACGUG